GGAGCCGAAGGGAAACCGAGUCUUAACUGGGCGUUAAGUUGCAGGGUAUAGACCCGAAACCCGGUGAUCUAGCCAUGGGCAGGUUGAAGGUUGGGUAACACUAACUGGAGGACCGAACCGACUAAUGUUGAAAAAUUAGCGGAUGACUUGUGGCUGGGGGUGAAAGGCCAAUCAAACCGGGAGAUAGCUGGUUCUCCCCGAAAGCUAUUUAGGUAGCGCCUCGUGAAUUCAUCUCCGGGGGUAGAGCACUGUUUCGGCAAGGGGGUCAUCCCGACUUACCAACCCGAUGCAAACUGCGAAUACCGGAGAAUGUUAUCACGGGAGACACACGGCGGGUGCUAACGUCCGUCGUGAAGAGGGAAACAACCCAGACCGCCAGCUAAGGUCCCAAAGUCAUGGUUAAGUGGGAAACGAUGUGGGAAGGCCCAGACAGCCAGGAUGUUGGCUUAGAAGCAGCCAUCAUUUAAAGAAAGCGUAAUAGCUCACUGGUCGAGUCGGCCUGCGCGGAAGAUGUAACGGGGCUAAACCAUGCACCGAAGCUGCGGCAGCGACACUAUGUGUUGUUGGGUAGGGGAGCGUUCUGUAAGCCUGUGAAGGUGGCCUGUGAGGGUUGCUGGAGGUAUCAGAAGUGCGAAUGCUGACAUAAGUAACGAUAAAGCGGGUGAAAAGCCCGCUCGCCGGAAGACCAAGGGUUCCUGUCCAACGUUAAUCGGGGCAGGGUGAGUCGACCCCUAAGGCGAGGCCGAAAGGCGUAGUCGAUGGGAAACAGGUUAAUAUUCCUGUACUUGGUGUUACUGCGAAGGGGGGACGGAGAAGGCUAUGUUGGCCGGGCGACGGUUGUCCCGGUUUAAGCGUGUAGGCUGGUUUUCCAGGCAAAUCCGGAAAACCAAGGCUGAGGCGUGAUGACGAGGCACUACGGUGCUGAAGCGACAAAUGCCCUGCUUCCAGGAAAAGCCUCUAAGCAUCAGGUAACAUCAAAUCGUACCCCAAACCGACACAGGUGGUCAGGUAGAGAAUACCAAGGCGCUUGAGAGAACUCGGGUGAAGGAACUAGGCAAAAUGGUGCCGUAACUUCGGGAGAAGGCACGCUGAUAUGUAGGUGAAGCGACUUGCUCGUGGAGCUGAAAUCAGUCGAAGAUACCAGCUGGCUGCAACUGUUUAUUAAAAACACAGCACUGUGCAAACACGAAAGUGGACGUAUACGGUGUGACGCCUGCCCGGUGCCGGAAGGUUAAUUGAUGGGGUUAGCGGUAACGCGAAGCUCUUGAUCGAAGCCCCGGUAAACGGCGGCCGUAACUAUAACGGUCCUAAGGUAGCGAAAUUCCUUGUCGGGUAAGUUCCGACCUGCACGAAUGGCGUAAUGAUGGCCAGGCUGUCUCCACCCGAGACUCAGUGAAAUUGAACUCGCUGUGAAGAUGCAGUGUACCCGCGGCAAGACGGAAAGACCCCGUGAACCUUUACUAUAGCUUGACACUGAACAUUGAGCCUUGAUGUGUAGGAUAGGUGGGAGGCUUUGAAGUGUGGACGCCAGUCUGCAUGGAGCCGACCUUGAAAUACCACCCUUUAAUGUUUGAUGUUCUAACGUUGGCCCGUAAUCCGGGUUGCGGACAGUGUCUGGUGGGUAGUUUGACUGGGGCGGUCUCCUCCUAAAGAGUAACGGAGGAGCACGAAGGUUGGCUAAUCCUGGUCGGACAUCAGGAGGUUAGUGCAAUGGCAUAAGCCAGCUUGACUGCGAGCGUGACGGCGCGAGCAGGUGCGAAAGCAGGUCAUAGUGAUCCGGUGGUUCUGAAUGGAAGGGCCAUCGCUCAACGGAUAAAAGGUACUCCGGGGAUAACAGGCUGAUACCGCCCAAGAGUUCAUAUCGACGGCGGUGUUUGGCACCUCGAUGUCGGCUCAUCACAUCCUGGGGCUGAAGUAGGUCCCAAGGGUAUGGCUGUUCGCCAUUUAAAGUGGUACGCGAGCUGGGUUUAGAACGUCGUGAGACAGUUCGGUCCCUAUCUGCCGUGGGCGCUGGAGAACUGAGGGGGGCUGCUCCUAGUACGAGAGGACCGGAGUGGACGCAUCACUGGUGUUCGGGUUGUCAUGCCAAUGGCACUGCCCGGUAGCUAAAUGCGGAAGAGAUAAGUGCUGAAAGCAUCUAAGCACGAAACUUGCCCCGAGAUGAGUUCUCCCUGAGACUUAGAGUCUCCUGAAGGAACGUUGAAGACGACGACGUUGAUAGGCCGGGUGUGUAAGCGCAGCGAUGCGUUGAGCUAACCGGUACUAAUGAACCGUGAGGCUUAACCUUACAACGCCGAAG
RNAcentral lists this ribosomal RNA (2299 nucleotides) under Escherichia coli. Its description in RNAcentral is "partial 23S ribosomal RNA". It matches the Rfam family "Bacterial large subunit ribosomal RNA", at positions 662 to 2925 of the family's 2925-position model. Lineage: Bacteria; Pseudomonadati; Pseudomonadota; Gammaproteobacteria; Enterobacterales; Enterobacteriaceae. The record is from RNAcentral.